UCCAGCUGUUUUGGGACUACAGUUCCCAUCAUCCCUGACCACUGGUCCUGUUAGCUAGGGAUGAUGGGCGUCGUAGUCCCAAAACAGCUGGA
Podarcis lilfordi (Lilford's wall lizard) is the source of this 92-nucleotide non-coding RNA. The record is from the annotation of a GenBank genome assembly. Lineage: Eukaryota; Metazoa; Chordata; Lepidosauria; Squamata; Lacertidae.